ACACCAAUAUUUUGCCCAUCUCCUCCACCACCACCUAGGUCUCCGCCACCACCAUCACCACCUCCACCUCCUCCAUCUCCACCACCACCGCCACCUCCUCCAUCUCCACCACCGCCUUCACCUCCACCUCCAUCCCCUCCUCCACCUCCACCAUCACCUCCACCACCUUCCCCUCCCCCGCCUUCACCUCCCCCACCCCCAACCCUUCCUCCUCCACCAACGUCACCACCUCCCCCUCCGCGUUCACUUGUUUGCACGAUAUUACCUCUCCCAUUACUUUGCCCAACCCCACCUGCACCACCUCCACCUCCGCGUACUCCACUUCUUUGCACAGUAUUACCUCGAGCAAUAUUUUGCCCAUCCCCACCACCAC
Molecule: long non-coding RNA, 373 nt
Filed under: Erythranthe guttata (spotted monkey flower)
Lineage: Eukaryota; Viridiplantae; Streptophyta; Magnoliopsida; Lamiales; Phrymaceae
Description: long non-coding RNA (EGUT_LNC001180)
Source: RNAcentral